Small nuclear RNA from Hyaena hyaena (striped hyena), 103 nucleotides. The record is from RefSeq and is a predicted model, not a curated record. Lineage: Eukaryota; Metazoa; Chordata; Mammalia; Carnivora; Hyaenidae.
GUGCUUGCUUCAGCAGCACAUCUACUAAAAUUUAACAAUACAGAGAUUAGCAUGGCCCCUGUGCAACGAUGACACAUAAAUUCGUGAAGCAUUCCAGAUUUAA